Molecule: ribosomal RNA, 445 nt
Filed under: uncultured bacterium
Lineage: Bacteria
Description: bacterial LSU rRNA
Rfam family: Bacterial large subunit ribosomal RNA
Source: RNAcentral
GGGUAAGUUCCGACCUGCACGAAUGGCGUAACGAUCUGACGACUGUCUCAACAACUCGCCCGGCGAAUUUGUGGUUCCGGUGAAGACGCCGGAUGCCCGCCACAAGACGGAAAGACCCCGUGCACCUUUACUAUACCCUAUCAGUGAAUUAUGGGUUGAACUGCGCAGGAUAGGUGGGAGGCUUUGAUAUCGGCUUUUUGGAGUCGAUGGAGCCAAUGGUGAGAUACCACCCUGUUCAAUCUGUGAUUCUAACCUGCUUCCCUAAUCGGGAAGAGGGACACUGGUAGGCGGGUAGUUUGACUGGGGCGGUCGCCUCCUAAAUUGUAACGGAGGCGCUCGAAGCUGCGUUCAGGUGGUUUGGAAAUCCACCGACGAGUGCAAAGGCAUAAACGCGGUUAACUGCGAGACCUACAAGUCAAGCAGGUGGGAAACCAGGACUUAGUGA